UAAUGACUUACAACUUUCAGCGAUGGAUGUCUA
Molecule: ribosomal RNA, 33 nt
Filed under: Fragilariopsis kerguelensis
Lineage: Eukaryota; Bacillariophyta; Bacillariophyceae; Bacillariales; Bacillariaceae
Description: partial 5.8S ribosomal RNA
Source: RNAcentral